UAAGGAAUAUUGGUCAAUGGACGGAAGUCUGAACCAGCCAUGCCGCGUGGAGGAUGAAGGCCCUCUGGGUUGUAAACUUCUUUUAUCUGGGACGAAACACUCUUUAUCUAAUGAGCUUGACGGUACCAGAUGAAUAAGCACCGGCUAACUCCGUGCCAGCAGCCGCGGUAAUACGGAGGGUGCAAGCGUUAUCCGGAUUCACUGGGUGUAAAGGGUGCGUAGGCGGAUUUGUAAGUCCGUGGUGAAAUCUCUAAGCUUAACUCGGAAAUUGCCGUGGAUACUGUAAGUCUUGAGUAUUGUGGAGGUAAGCGGAAUAUGUCAUGUAGCGGUGAAAUGCAUAGAUAUGACAAAGAACACCAAUGGCGAAGGCAGCUGGCUACACAACUAUUGACGCUGAGGCACGAAAGCGUGGGGAUCAAACA
Molecule: ribosomal RNA, 422 nt
Filed under: uncultured bacterium
Lineage: Bacteria
Description: bacterial SSU rRNA
Rfam family: Bacterial small subunit ribosomal RNA
Source: RNAcentral